RNAcentral lists this long non-coding RNA (1021 nucleotides) under Gopherus agassizii (Agassiz's desert tortoise). RNAcentral's name for it is "lncRNA (ENSGAGG00000003759.1)". Lineage: Eukaryota; Metazoa; Chordata; Testudines; Testudinidae. The record is from RNAcentral.
UGAGUAAUGGAGACUUUUCUAGACUCCCAGUGGGUUCUGGAGUAACAGAGGCUUAUCUAGACCCUCCAUGGGUUCUCAAAUAAUGGGGAUUUUUUUCAGACCCUCCACGGGAUCUAGAGCAGCUGAGGAACUUCCAGUGGGGCCUACAGAGCUGCGUGCUAGAUUCCUGGGCUGAGGCAGCCGGCACCCGGGGGUCACGCGGUUCCCCUUCCCAGCAGGCAGAGACCCCGGUUUGGUCACUGACUGUGCCAUGGGUGGGGCUGGGCCCCAGCUCCAGCAUUGGGGGGCAGAGAAAAGUGAAGCCUGCAGAAUUAGCUGCAGCAUCCACCAGAGCCCCCACCGGGCCCCUGAACCCCCAAUCCCAGCAGCAGAGAUGGCACCAGUGGCUGGAGUGAACGUGGUGGUGGUGGUGGACGGGAGCUGUAUCCUCCAAUACACUCAUCGGGACUCUCCCUGCCAUUGUCUCUGCCAUGGGGAUGCCCUGCUGGCCUGCCAGCCUCCUGCCUGCUAUGGGACCGCUGCACCCUGCAGCCCCCCUGCCGCUGGGUCCCCCCUCUCCCGCCGGGCCCGGGGCCUGGGGGUCCGCUGCGGCACUGAGUUUUGCCUGGGGGAGGAAGAGGAGCAGGCAGAGCGGAGACCCUGCCACCAGGGGGCGCCCCCCCACCAUGCCCCCCCGCCCAGCCGGCUGACGCCGGUGCCCCUGCCCCGCAGCGCCACGGGGCCCUGGUUUACGGUGGAGGCACCAAAGGACGGUGGACCCGGGGCCCAGGUGGCCAGGAUCUGGGACCGGGGGCGCUGCCCCGUGCUGGAGGAGGGCGACCUCGUGGCCAAGGUGAACGGGGCCGACGUGAGGGGCCUCAGGCCCCAGGAGGUGGAGAAUGUCCUGCAGCAGCACACGCGAGCUGGGGACGUCAUCCUGCUGGUGGAGCGGAGAGGUAAGGGGGGCUGUGGGCACUGGGGGGUGCCACUCGUGGCCAUUUCACUUCCUGCCUGACCCACUAGGGGAAACCAGGGGGCCGUG